This 326-nucleotide ribosomal RNA is filed under the name Corbicula sp. CFG1a. RNAcentral describes it as "partial 28S ribosomal RNA". Lineage: Eukaryota; Metazoa; Mollusca; Bivalvia; Venerida; Cyrenidae. The record is from RNAcentral.
CCGGCCGCCAGCGGCGCUCGCAAAGUUCGGAUCCGCAAGGACCGGGCCAGCGGGACGUCCGCGUGGCAGGGUGCACUUUCUCCGCGGUCGAGUGCUACGACCGGUUUCGCGGCGGUCAGAAGCCCGGCGGAAAGGUAGCGCCGCCCCUCGGGGUGUCGUGUUAUAGGCCGCCGCGGUGGACUCGCCGCGAGACCGAGGACGCUUGCCGCGCCGAGCGGUCCCGGGCCGUCUUGGGAGGUUCGACCUCGGCUGCACUGCUCCGCAGAGCACCGUAACCGCCGCCCUAGCACGGGUCCGGAGACUGCCGGCGCCUCGGGUCAGUAGCG